This is a long non-coding RNA of Octopus sinensis (East Asian common octopus), 487 nucleotides long. RefSeq lists it as uncharacterized. The transcript has 2 exons. The record is from RefSeq and is a predicted model, not a curated record. NCBI's taxonomy places the organism in Eukaryota, Metazoa, Mollusca, Cephalopoda, Octopoda, Octopodidae.
UCAAACCACAUCGUAGAAGGUUGUGAAAUGGAUAAGAUGAUAAAGACUAUAUGUAGAGAUAAACUGCAGGGAUAAGUCAGAGAAUGAUUAUAAUGGCUGUUAAAGACAAGUUAAUAAAAAAAAAAUAAAAUAAAAUAAAGAGAAAAAAAAAAUGAUUUGCAGAUAAACUGCCAAUAAUAAUAAAGCUAGGAUAUCUCUAAGAAAACCUGACAUAAUUUGUUAAAACUUUGAACAACUUAAAUUGUUUUCCAUUUCAUAUCAUUUACACUAGGGAUAAGACCUAAGAUAGGUAUAGCCAUAUGAAUUUAGAAUAUAGAGGGGCAAUAAUGACAAUAAAGAUAUUUCCAAAAGAUCACAAAGAAAAUAAGAUCUUAAUUUAGGGGCCAUAUACAGUAUAUGAAAACAUUCUGACUUAGGGAGGUGAGUGUGUGUGUGUAGAGAGAGAGAGAGAGAGAGAGAGAGAUGGGCAGACAGAGAGUAAAAGAAA